AAGAUGUGGAACCCACAGAACAUGCUGCCUGUUGUAUUCAUUCCUAUGGCUCCUCUUUCUGUGGCUGAGUAGACAACAUUAUCCGUAGAUGCCUACAAGUAGCAACCCCCAGUCACGACAACUGAAAAUGUCUCCAGACAUUUGCCUGGGGAGGCAAAAUCACCUCCAGAAAUCCACCAUCUUGCGGCAACCCAGGCAUGUCAGGGAAUGCCAGAUCGAGUUCAAGUCCGGAAGACACAGUAGGCUGCCCGGGGAGGAAUAACGAAGACUUCAGGAUUUAUAGUUUGGCAUUGGAUCAAGAUUCUAGAAGGAAUAGGAAGGACUCAGGUAGUUGUUGAUCGCUCCUGGGUUGUCUUGGGUGAGAAACUCACCCUAAUGUGUGAGAGCUCAUCUUAAUGGACAAGAGAGUUGAAUUAUGUCAAGAUUAACUGACUAGUGAAAAAAGGGUCCUUUUGGAAUAUGAUGCUGUGCCUCCUCGGAGAAAUAUACCACAUGUUUGUAAAGAAAAGGCACUACAACAAAACCGUCACAGAAAAGUUAAAUGACAGCCAGGAUUAUUCGAGCCACUCCGUUUUCUUUUGGGGUCCCAGCCAUUCUACUUAACAGUAUUCAGGAUCAAACACUAUUUCCCUGUUAUGGAGAUUGUUUCCCUUAUAGGUUCCUGGGGAGGACAAUAAUAUCAUACAACUAUUCCUCGCCAGAAUUCUGAACCAAUGGAGAAAUGGUGGAUAUUUACCGAGUAAGUUAGUAUUGGUGAAUGUAGCUUAGAUCUGCAGGCAAGUAUUCCUAAUACUCUACUGAAGAAUCAGACAUUGUUUCCCCAUCCAGUUAGAGGCAGUGCUGGACCACUGCCUACACCCUCCACCACUGGGGCACGGCUUCUGUGGCCAAGCUUCCUGCAGGACUGACAGAAAGUAAGAUGUGCUCACCAAAGUCACCUUCUCAUUCAAGAGAGAAAGGGGAGGAGGAUGAAAUAAUGACCAAUUUUCUUCCAAACUCCCAACAGACAAGUCAUCUGCUUUUCCUGGUUGAGGCCAGGAGUGUUAAGCCAAUGGAGACUGUAUUAAUGAAGCCUUUUAUUUUCUGUAUUUCUGAAGCCUUUUAUUUUCUGUAUUUCUGAAGCAUUUUAUUUUCUGUCUUUCUGAUGUUUUGACAUCCGGGGCCUUGCUGACCCUGGAGGACUGCUCCUCCCAGAGUUGGCCAGUUCCUACAAAGAAUAAACAACUAGCCCUCA
RNAcentral lists this long non-coding RNA (1234 nucleotides) under Equus caballus (horse). RNAcentral describes it as "lncRNA (ENSECAG00000055446.1)". Lineage: Eukaryota; Metazoa; Chordata; Mammalia; Perissodactyla; Equidae. The record is from RNAcentral.